UACGGGGGGGGCAAGCGUUGUUCGGAAUUACUGGGCGUAAAGGGCUCGUAGGUGGCCAACUAAGUCAGACGUGAAAUCCCUCGGCUUAACCGGGGAACUGCGUCUGAUACUGGAUGGCUUGAGUUUGGGAGAGGGAUGCGGAAUUCCAGGUGUAGCGGUGAAAUGCGUAGAUAUCUGGAGGAAUACCGGUGGCGAAGGCGGCAUCCUGGACCAUAACUGACGCUGAGGCGCGAAAGCUAGGGGAGCAAACGGG
Molecule: ribosomal RNA, 253 nt
Filed under: uncultured bacterium
Lineage: Bacteria
Description: partial 16S ribosomal RNA
Rfam family: Bacterial small subunit ribosomal RNA
Source: RNAcentral